RNAcentral lists this ribosomal RNA (463 nucleotides) under Vreelandella stevensii. RNAcentral's name for it is "partial 16S ribosomal RNA". It matches the Rfam family "Bacterial small subunit ribosomal RNA", at positions 338 to 794 of the family's 1533-position model. Lineage: Bacteria; Pseudomonadati; Pseudomonadota; Gammaproteobacteria; Oceanospirillales; Halomonadaceae. The record is from RNAcentral.
CCUACGGGUUGCAGCAGUGGGGAAUAUUGGACAAUGGGCGAAAGCCUGAUCCAGCCAUGCCGCGUGUGUGAAGAAGGCCUUCGGGUUGUAAAGCACUUCAGUGGGGAAGAAAGCCUUGGGGCUAAUACCCUCGAGGAAGGACAUCACCCACAGAAGAAGCACCGGCUAACUCCGUGCCAGCAGCCGCGGUAAUACGGAGGGUGCGAGCGUUAAUCGGAAUUACUGGGCGUAAAGCGCGCGUAGGCGGUCUGAUAAGCCGGUUGUGAAAGCCCCGGGCUCAACCUGGGAACGGCAUCCGGAACUGUCAGGCUAGAGUGCAGGAGAGGAAGGUAGAAUUCCCGGUGUAGCGGUGAAAUGCGUAGAGAUCGGGAGGAAUACCAGUGGCGAAGGCGGCCUUCUGGACUGACACUGACGCUGAGGUGCGAAAGCGUGGGUAGCAAACAGGAUUAGAUACCCUUGUAGU